Molecule: long non-coding RNA, 1282 nt
Filed under: Homo sapiens (human)
Lineage: Eukaryota; Metazoa; Chordata; Mammalia; Primates; Hominidae
Description: non-protein coding lnc-GOLGA7-1:1
Source: RNAcentral
CAUGAGCUUCACCACUCCCUCCACCUUCUCCACCAACUACCAGUCCCUGGGCUCUGUCCAGCCGCCCAGCUAUGGCACCUGGCCGGUCAGCAGCGCAGCCAGCAUCUAUGCAGGCACUGGGGGGCUUGGGAUCCCAGAUCUCCAUGUCCUGUUCUACCAGUUUCUGGGGCGGCUUGGGGUCUGGGGGCCUGGCCACAGAGAUGGCUGGGGGUCUGGCAGAAAUGGGGGGCAUCCAGAAUGAGAAGGAGACCAUGCAAAGCCUGAACGACCACCUGGACUACCUGGACAGAGUGAGGAACCUGGAGACCGAGAACUGGAGGCUGGAGAGCAAAAUCCAGGAGUAUCUGGAGAAGAGACCCCAUGUCAGAGACUGGGGCCAUUACUUCAAGACCAUCAAGGAACUGAGGGCUCAGAUCUUCGCAAAUACUGUGGACAAUGUCCACAUCAUUCUGCAGAUCGACAAUGCCCGUCUUGCUGCUGAUGACUUCAGAGUCAAGUAUGAGACAAGAGCUGGCCAUGCGCCAGUCUGUGGAGAGCAACAUCCAUGGGCUCUGCAAGGUCAUUGAUGACACCAAUGUCACUCUGCUGCAGCUGGAGACAGAGAUGGGCGCUCUCAAGGAGGAGCUGCUCCUCAUGAAGAAGAACCAUGAAGAGGAAGUAAAAGGCUUGCAAGUCCAGAUUGCCAACUCUGGGUUGGCCGUGGAGGUAGAUGCCCCCAAAUCUCAAGUCCUCGCCAAGGUCAUGGCAGACAUCAGGGCCCAAUAGGAUGAGCUGUCUCAGAAGAACUCAGAGAAGCUAGGCAAGUACUGGUCUCAGCAGACUGAGGAGAGCACCACAGUGGUCACCACACACUCUGCCAAGGUCAGAGCUGCUGAGAUGACACGGAGCUGAGACGUACAGUCCAGUGCUUGGAGAUUGACCUGGACUCAAUGAGAAAUCUGAAGACCAGCUUGUAGAACAGCCUGAGGGAGGUGGAGGCCCGCUACGCCCUGCAGAUGGAGCAGCUCAACAGAAUCCUGCUGUACUUGGAGUCAAAGCUGGCACAGAACUGGGCAGAGGGCCAGCGCAAGGUCCAGGAGUACAAGGACUUGCUGAACAUCAGGGUCAAGCUGGAGGCUGAGAUCGCCACCUACCGCCGCCUGCUGGAAGACAGCGAGGGCCUCAAUCUUGGUGAUGCCCUGGACAGCAGCAACUCCAUGCAAACCAUCCAAAAGACCACCACCCGCCAGAUAGUGGAUAGCAAAGUGGUGUCUGAGAUCAGUGACACCAAAGUUCUGAGACA